CUUUCACAUUUUAUUGUCAAAUUCAUUAAAUUUAAAAGCUCGGAACUAAUGAGCUCCGAACUGCGGCCUAGUGCCCAAGUGUACGUUCCCCUAGAAGUGAGCCCCAGUAAGGGGGCCCCGAAGCCUUCGCAGAGUUCGCGAUAUUCGCGUAAAAGCGUGCGUGUAAUGACAGGGGACUCCCCUAGACCCAUUCUGGGAACGAAAGCCCCCUUUCCAAGGGCCAUUCUUGGCCGAAAGGAACAAUAUUCCGUGUCAUCAUUGACGAGAAAUAUGCAACAGAAAUUGCGUGCAGUGUAAACAGAUGUUUGGGCCGUAUUUUCAAGGAAGGGCCUGUGGGGAUGCGUGUGUUUCGACCAAUGGCAGACUGGUGCCAGAUUGCAACAAUGCAGGAACUUUGGGCAACUUUUUGAAACGAUUGUAUUAGUUUGUUUGUAGAGGGUGUUAGGAGUUAUUAGAACAAUAAAGAACAUUUCAUAUCGCA
RNA transcript from Tribolium castaneum (red flour beetle), 481 nucleotides. RefSeq lists it as uncharacterized. The transcript is spliced from 2 exons. NCBI's taxonomy places the organism in Eukaryota, Metazoa, Arthropoda, Insecta, Coleoptera, Tenebrionidae. The record is from RefSeq and is a predicted model, not a curated record.